AAGACUCUCGGUGUACUGUGGGAAUCAACGAGCGAUGUUUUUACUUUCCGGGUCCAACCACCCAAUGUGGAUAUGAAGUUGACCAAAAGAAACGUUCUCAGCACUAUAGCGACUAUCUUUGACCCACUGCAGUUCUUGGCCCCCUUCACCCUACGUGCUAAGAUUUUGAUGCAGGAAAUCUGGAUAGCUGGAAUCGGUUGGGACGAUCUCCUUACAGACGAGUUGAUUUUCAAGUGGAAAAAAUGGGUCUCGGAACUACGUGAAUUAUCGCAGGUCACUAUUCCUCUAAGUCUUCGCCUACCCAGUCCUUCUCAAAGUCGAUUACACGUAUUUUCAGACGCAUCAAAAGAAGCUUAUGCUACGGUAGCCUACUUAGUUUGUCGAUAUUCUGACGAGAGCAGUACCUCGAGAAUUGUUGCGUCGAAAAGUAGAGUGGCACCAACAAAAGUAGUGACGAUACCACGGCUAGAGCUCAUGGGUGCAAUUCUUUCCACUCGACUGGCAAAGAACAUUAGCAAGACCUUAGAAGUUGGAGAACCUAUAUUCUGGACUGACUCGACAAACGUGCUGUACUGGAUACGAAACCAAAGUCGUGAUUUCAAGCCGUUGGUAGCCAACCGAAUCGGCGAAAUUCGCAGAUCCACUAACCCACAGCAGUGGAGACAUAUACGUGGAGAGUCGAAUCCAGCAGACCUGCCAACAAGAAGAUUGUCAGCCACAGACCUAGCAAACAACGAAUUGUGGAAGAAGGGACCAGAAAUUCUACAACAAGACGAGUCAACAUGGCCCCCUCAAAUUCCCAACGAAGAAGUUCAGAGAAAUAUUGUCGAAGGCGAAAGACGAAAGGUUAACGUUACUCACACAACAAGGGACAGUUCAAACCAAAUUCUCAUUGAUCCAAAUCGUUUCUCG
Non-coding RNA from Paramuricea clavata, 912 nucleotides. NCBI's taxonomy places the organism in Eukaryota, Metazoa, Cnidaria, Anthozoa, Malacalcyonacea, Plexauridae. The record is from the annotation of a GenBank genome assembly.